This 253-nucleotide unclassified non-coding RNA is filed under the name Hevea brasiliensis (rubber tree). The record is from RNAcentral. Lineage: Eukaryota; Viridiplantae; Streptophyta; Magnoliopsida; Malpighiales; Euphorbiaceae.
CUGAAGUAGGAGGCAUUGCAAACACUAGCAUUAUUAAACCCCAGAAUAGGGGGAAAAACGGUUGACACUCCAGUAUUUUAAUUCCAUUCCUUCACGGUGUAAGCAAAGACCAGUAUAAUCACCAUCACAUCGAAAGCAGAAAAGCUCAUAAGCAGGUUUGAACACGCAAACAAUGAUAAAAGGAAAUAAAGUAGAAAACUAAGCUUCUUUUCCUCCUUUUUAAACCAACCAAACAGAUACAAGGGCAUCCAAG